GUCUUUACCUGACAGGGGAGACACAAUCAUCACGUAGGUGGUUUUCCCAGGGCGAGCCUUAUCCAUUGCACUCCGGAUGUGCUGAAACCUGCCAUUUCCCCAAAUGUGGGAAAUUCCACUGCAUAAUUUGUGGUGUGGGGAAACCGAGUUUAGGCUCUCCA
This 161-nucleotide small nuclear RNA is filed under the name Sorex araneus (European shrew). RNAcentral describes it as "U1 spliceosomal RNA (ENSSARG00000015141.1)". It matches the Rfam family "U1 spliceosomal RNA". Rfam says of the family: U1 is a small nuclear RNA (snRNA) component of the spliceosome (involved in pre-mRNA splicing). Its 5' end forms complementary base pairs with the 5' splice junction, thus defining the 5' donor site of an intron. There are significant differences in sequence and secondary structure between metazoan and yeast U1 snRNAs, the latter being much longer (568 nucleotides as compared to 164 nucleotides in human). The record is from RNAcentral. Lineage: Eukaryota; Metazoa; Chordata; Mammalia; Eulipotyphla; Soricidae.